AUAUUGCAAGAAGUAAUGUGCGGUAAUAUGUAUGUAUGAAAAAAUGGUAUACAUAAAAAAUUGGACUUUAUAAAAAAGUCGCACAAUGCUCUAAAGUAGUCUAACGUCAAAGGUUUAUAAAAAGUCUCAUAUUAUACGAGAGCCAAGAGCUUUUCACUUCUGCCGGCUGGCCAGUCUAGGAGGGGCUUGCACUACAACAGGAAAAUGAACACCACCUUGAAAUUUUGUCUUAACUACGCGCUCCACCGUUAUUUCACGUUUCCAAUGGAGUGCCCGUUAACAGAUAAGAAAAAACUAGAGUUUGCAGACGCCGGAUAUUACUACAAUUGCAAAAUGGGGCAAUAUCAGUGCUACUUUUGCAAACAUGCCCUUGCUGUGGUGUCCAUAAAAAAUGAUUAUAAAUAUGAAUUAUUUAUCAAACCCAAUGCCAAAUUUCUGAACCUUCCACCCACGCAUAACGCAUUGACAAUUUUUAUUGUGGUUUGGCGAUUUGGAGCACUUUAAGCUUACAUUGUAAUGCUCAUGCACUCAAUUGUUACCCUCUUUUGACAGCUCAAUUUGUUCACAAAUUUUUUAUUCCGAGUAUCAUAUGUUUUAUAAUGAACACAUUUUUUCUUAGUGUUUACUUUACUUGUAAACGCACUUUCUCCAUUACAUUCUUGUAUAUUUUCUCUAAAUUUCAUUGCUUCUCUAAAAAAACCAAAAAAACAAUUUAAUACUCCUGUGUUGCAGUUAGAUAAAAAUGCUACAAAAUUAAAAUCUUUUCGAGAGCGUUUGCUUAUUUUUUUAAAUAUUUCUGAAUAGGUGCGCAAUUUAAGAUUUUUUUCAGCAUUCUUUAAUCUGCACAAAGAUGAAUGAAACUUUGGCUGUGUGUUAUGCAUUGAUUUUACUUAAUUAUUAGGUCCAUGGUGUUAUGCCUUGUUCUUGUGAAUGAAACCCUUAGUUGAAUGGGAAUGAACCGCAGCGGCAAAAAGCGUCAUGUUGCGUCAUCUAUGGAAGUCACUCGGAUGCAGCAGCACAACCACCAAGAUCAGUGUGAGGCAAGGAGUUUGGUUCCAAACUCCUUGGUGUGAGCAGCAAAAAGACGGCCGACACAGCUAUAGCAAGCAGAACCGGCUUUUAACUGAUUUUCAUUGGAAAUUUUUGAUAAUCGGAGGUAAUUCCCAUCAUAAGAAAUGACUGAAACAAGGUAAUUUUGCGCUUAAUUAAAUUUAAUCAACAAACCGUUUGAUUGACGACAGGAAAAGUUUCUGCAGCCGCACUUGGCUCAUUUUCUCAGUUCAAUCAUGCUUCAAAACAUCAAAGCAAAUUUAUUUUGGAAAUGAUAAUUAUCUCUUAACACAAGAACUGGUUUGAAGGGUUGGACAAAGCUUGACAAGCCGAAAGCAUCAUUAAUGCGAUUGAUCAUUUAACUAGCCACGAUCAAUUAAUGGCCUAGCAUUGGAAGCAUAGGAAAUCACAAGAUGCUUUUGAUGGAGCGGGCAAUAUCCGAUUUGGCCCUGCCGAGAUGAUGAAUAAGGUAGCGCGUGAUCCUCCAGGCGCAAGGACCAUCAGUUUUUGGCAGUUUUUGUUAUGAAUGUGCCAUAAAUAUGAUCUCUCUCCAAAAAAAGCAAAAUAGUACCGCGCGAUUUAUAUUUUGUCACCGGUUAUUUUAAUUCCAUAGCAUACUAAAAUAUAAUUGUAAGUUAAAAUAGUCCCAAAUAUUUUUGUCAUUUGUAUUUUUGGUCUCUGUUCUAAAAUUGUUUCCAAUUAAUUCAAUUCAACAUAAAUAAAAAUUGACAUUUUAUUUUAACUGCAAGAAAUAUCUUUUUAUGCUCAACACACUUCUGAAAAGAACCCAUCCUCACGCCUGCUUGUUCCACCAGUUUAAGUUGAUAAAUAAAGUAGAAAUUAGUGCGAAUUUAUGAAUGGAGCCUCAAUCUGUUGCCGUGUCUUUGGAAAGAAGGGGGUACCAAGGCGAGAGGGGAAGAGCAACAGCAACCGAGGCUGGAGCUGGCCAGAGCGCGGUCAUUUCGUACUUCGCAGAGAUCAGUUUUUAGCCAAAACCUUAGAUUAUCUCACAUCUGCCCGAAGUCAAGCCACACUUUGUAAAAAUUUAGGAACAAUAAAAGUGCAAAAAAAUGGGCAGAGUAGCCAAGAAUAAACAGGGAGCUGUUCUUUGCAACAACGACCUGGAGGUGCAGACGCAGACGGUUGACCCCCCUCGCAUCACCAUCCACUUGUUCCUUCGAGUGCUCUCCUGGCCUUUCCGCAAACUUUUGGCCUUUGCAACUUUCGUUGCUGAAAAGUUCUUCCCAGGAAGGUUUCAGAACCCGACACUUCAGGUCAACUGUUAAAUUUCAUUCCUUGGGAUUAUGAAACAUCCAACUCCAUACUGUUUAUGAUGUCCUUGCAGGGACAAGCAAAAGAUGGUCGAGCCACGCGCAAGGAAAAGGACGGAAUUGAUAAGGAAGUUCUGAAGAAAACCACAUAUUAUAGAGUGCUGAAGAUAGCUUUGACCUUCCAAUCGCAGUUGCCUAAUGCGCUUUGGAAACGUUCGAUUCAGGCAAAUUAUUAAAAUAUUAUUAAGACAAAAUUAUUAUGAAAAUAUUUCCAUAUCAACAAAAUGAACAAAAUCAUUCUGGGUGCACAUGCACAUAAUAACUUUCAUUUAGGGCUAGGUGUUCAGUGUUUUUCAUCGAUUUCCUAAGUUGACGAAUAUUAUGUAUUCACUCCAAAGUUAAAUAUCAAAAUCUUAAAGUAUUUUUCCAGGAAAUAAAAUUAAUGUUUGACAAGAUAAAAUCUAAUCUGUUUGCAUAUUAAUUAAUUACAAAACUUAUGGGUACAUACCUGAACUUCAAAGGUGAAAUAUUUCUUCAUGUUCUUGAUGAUCAUGACCAGG
Neocloeon triangulifer is the source of this 2881-nucleotide long non-coding RNA. RefSeq lists it as uncharacterized. Lineage: Eukaryota; Metazoa; Arthropoda; Insecta; Ephemeroptera; Baetidae. The record is from RefSeq and is a predicted model, not a curated record. The transcript is spliced from 5 exons.